UGGGGAAGGUCAGGUUCUAGGAGACAGACAGAAACUCAGCUCUUAAGUAAGUAGAAACUUAACCAUACAGCAUAAUGGCCCCUGCUUUCAAAAUGGAGUCAGUGGGACAUUCGAAGUGGAGAGAUCCUUCAGGAGUAUGAUCAGCAUUUGGGAGCUGCCAACACCAUUGUUUUUGUGGAUGAGAAUCGAUGAUUUGUGAGUACGUCUGAUAAUAAGAAUGCUAGACCUGCAGCUCCUUUGCCUGCUACAUAAUGACUGCCCAGUGUCUCGGCAGAGAAGAGCCAAAAUGAGUUCUUAAUAUUGGUGACUUCACCCAAUGGGAAGCCGUUAAUCCCACCAAUCAAGAAUAAAACCACUACCAUAAUUUAAAGCCAAA
Molecule: long non-coding RNA, 376 nt
Organism: Mesocricetus auratus (golden hamster)
Lineage: Eukaryota; Metazoa; Chordata; Mammalia; Rodentia; Cricetidae
Exons: 2
Source: RefSeq, a predicted model, not a curated record